AUCUACAGCUAUACCACCCUGAAUGCACUGGAUCUCAUCUGAUCUCAGAAGCUAAGCAGGGUCGGGCCUGGUUAUUACUUGGAUGGGAGAAAAUUGAAGGAGUUU
RNAcentral lists this ribosomal RNA (105 nucleotides) under Prolemur simus (greater bamboo lemur). The record is from RNAcentral. Lineage: Eukaryota; Metazoa; Chordata; Mammalia; Primates; Lemuridae.